Molecule: ribosomal RNA, 500 nt
Filed under: Streptomyces sp.
Lineage: Bacteria; Bacillati; Actinomycetota; Actinomycetes; Kitasatosporales; Streptomycetaceae
Description: bacterial SSU rRNA
Rfam family: Bacterial small subunit ribosomal RNA
Source: RNAcentral
CCUACGGGAGGCCGCAGUGGAGAAUAUUGCACAGUGGGAGAAACCCUGAUGCAGCGACCCCGCGAGAGGGAUGACGGCCUUCGGUUUGUAAACCUCUUUCAGCAGGGAAGAAGCGAAUGUGACGGUACCUGCAGAAGAAGCGCCGGCUAUCUACGUGCCAGCAGCCGCGGUAAUACGUAGGGCGCGAGCGUUGUCCGGAAUUAUUGGGCGUAAAGAGCUCGUACGCGUCUUGUCACGUCGGUUGUGAAAGCCCGGGGCUUAACCCCGGGUCUGCAGUCGAUACGGGCAGGCUAGAUUUCGAUAGGAGAUAUCAGAUUUCGUGGUGUAGCGGUGAUGUGCGCAUAUCUCAAGAAGAACACCGGUGGAGAAGGCAGAUCUCUGGGCCGAUACUGACUCUGAAGAGCAAAGUGUGGAGAGCAACGAGAUAUAUCCCUGAUAUCCACGCCGUCACGGGGGCUCUAUGUGUGGAGAUUUCCACGUCUCCGUGCCCAUCUACGCAU